Long non-coding RNA from Hypanus sabinus (Atlantic stingray), 2383 nucleotides. RefSeq lists it as uncharacterized. The transcript has 4 exons. NCBI's taxonomy places the organism in Eukaryota, Metazoa, Chordata, Chondrichthyes, Myliobatiformes, Dasyatidae. The record is from RefSeq and is a predicted model, not a curated record.
CCGCUCCGUCGCCAUGGCGGAGAUCAGCGAGUCGCUUCUGUCGGUGUCGCCGGCCUCGGCGCCCACAAGGACGGGAGUGAUUCCCCUUCGCGCCUCGGUGGGUCUGUUUCGGUGACGUCUCUGGUGGCUGACGAAACAUUCUUUGACAGGGAGCGAGCGAGGACCAAUGACUACAACUCCCAGAAGUCCCCAGUGAUGACGUUGUGGUGAUUUGGGCUUUCCCACCACAGAUGUAAGGCUCAAUGGUCUAUAAUUAUCCAGACUAUCCCUACUACCAUUUAUGAACAAGGGGACAACAUUCGCCUCCCUCCAAUCCUCCAGUAACAUUCCCGUGGACAAUGAGGACAUAAUGAUCCUAGCCAGAGGCUCAGCAAUCUAUUUCCUCGCCUCGGAUGCAGAACCGGGAAGUGGCAGAUGGAGUUCAACACAGAUGAAGAGAUUCAUUUCUGCAGGUCAAAUUUGAAACCAGAAUAUAAUAUUAAUGGUUAGGCCGUACUUGGAGUUUUGUCAAUGUUUUUGGUCCCAUACCUCAGAAAGGAAGCAGGAUCUCAUCGAAACCUACCGAGUGUUGAAGGGACGAGACAGGGUGCAUGUGUUUCAUAUGAUGGGGCAUCCAGAGUAGACGGCACAGCCUCAACAUUGAGGGGAGAUGUUUUUGAACAGAGGGACAUUACUCCUGACAUUGGUCCCAAGACCCAGCCUGUUUACAGAACCGGAGCGGAACUGGAGCAGAUUCUUAGACACUUGUUUUCAUCGCAAAUCCAGAAGACAGUUUAACGUUUUUUCGUGAAUUUAUUCCCAGUGAAGGUGUGGAGAUGGGACUUGGUCUCCGCGUUGUAAAAUGAAUCUGUCCCGGACUCGUAACUGAGAUAAACUCCCACCCUCCCGGGGUUGGGACAGGCAGCGAGUCGGGGUUCAGGGGAGGUGGCAACACUGAACAAAUCAUAAUUCAAGUCCGAUAACCCCUGUCCGAUGACCCAGAUCAGCCAGAUAGUGGCGUCUGUGUCCACAGGACACUCGAAGCUGCUGCGUCGGUUGAGAGUGUUGUUAAGAAGCCGUAUGGCGUACUGGGCUUCAUCAACUGUGGGAUUGAUUUCAAGAGCUGUGAGGUAAUGUUACAGAGGAACAACGCCUUAGUUAGACCACACCUGGAGUUCUGUGUCCAAUUCUGGUUACCUCACUACGGGAAGGAUGUGGAUACUAUACAGCGAGUGCAGAGGAGAUUUACAAGGGUGUUGCCUGGAUUGAAGAGCAUGCCUUAUGAAAACAGGCAGAGUGAACUUGGCCUUUACUCCUUGGAGCGCCGGAGGGUGAGGGAUGACCUGAUACACGUGUAUAAAAUGAUAAGAGGCACUGAUCGUGUGGAUUGCCAGAGGCUAUUUCCCAGGGAUGAAAUGGCUAACACGUGGGGGCACAGUUUUAAGGUGCUUGGAAGUAGGUACAGAGGGGGUGUCAGAGGUAAGUGUUUCACACAGAAAGUGGUGGUGCAUGGAAUGCAUUGCGAAGGUGGCAGAGGUGGAUAGAACAGGGUCUUUUAAGAGACUCUGAGUUAGGUACAUGGAGCUUAGAAAAAUAGAGGGCUAUGCGGUAGGGAGGUUCUUGACAUUUUCUAGAGUAUGUGACAUGGUCAGCACAUCAUUGUGGGCCGAAAGGCCUGUAAUGUGGUGUAGAAACUUUGUUCACUGCCAACGGCGAGAUGCCGAACAGUGUUGCGGAGAGACAGCUCUUGGGAUGCAAGUUCACAGCUCGUUGGAUGUGGCGAAACAGGUCGAUUAGGUGGUGAAGGAGGCUUAUAGAAUACCGGCUUUUAUUCGUGAAGCGCUGAGUUCAAAAUCCAGGAGGUUAUUUUGUAAUUUAUAACACUCUAGUCAGACCAUGUCCGGAGUAUUUAUCUGAGGCUUCUGUGGUGCAUAUCUGGACAGUUCGGACGCAACAUCCAUGGUCGACCCUCUCCGACGGAGGCCUCACAAACUCACACUGAGAAAUCUUCAAAUGACCAAUGUCCCAGCACCCGACCCUGCGGUACACCACUUGCUCCAAACUUCCCUCAGAACAGAGAUGAGGAGGAAGUUAUUCGGAGUGGGGUGGUGAAUGUGAGGCAUUAAUUGCCCUUAUUCCUGCUGUCGGUGGUUGCCGGCCUCUGCGUCCACAACGACAGGCGUGGUUCUCCUCCGACGUCACGGCGAAUCUGUUCCAACAGAUGUUUGUGACGGCUGAGGAAUAGUGUUGAAGCAGGGAGCGAGUGAGAAGCUGAGACAUUUGGACUACAACUACCAGAUGCCCCCGCGGCCCCGUAUGUUCGGCAGCUGAAGCUGACUGAGCGCGGUGCCCGAUGGGAACUGUAGUUCCUAUGAAAAGCGAGCGUUUGUGACUUAUUCUAUCA